ACUUUUUUUGUCUCCUUUCCUCUCUCUCUGCGCAGUCUUUGUCUCGGGAGCUAAGGGGAGUAGAGAGGGUUUGAUGGCGGUGGGUAACGGAGUAGAGGGAGGAGGCUGGGUGGAGCGACGGCCGGGAGGGGAGCGGAGGAGGGUGGAGCGCCGAGGCCUCCGACGGCCUAGGUGGCGUAGGGGGUACGCAGGUAGGGAGAGCGCAGGGUAGAGAGUGAGAAGUGCGUCGAGGAGCGACGCGGUGGACGUCGCCGACUAAAUCCGCUGCAGGCGGCUUAGGGUACUGGCACUUCGUGUCGGGCUCCAGGGGACCGUGGCGCCUCGAAAGGGUAGGCCGAUCUAAGCCGCGAGCGUCGGUGGUCUCGGGUGGGCGCUGGGAGGGGGUACCGAUCCCAAAGUCCGCAGCCGAGGCCGCGCCACCGGUACAGCAGGAGGAGAACAGGCCGCUCACGUAGGGGAGGGAACGAAGCAGGAGAGAGAGAGACAGAGGGUGAAAGACACUAGAUACCAGAAGAGAAGAGGACAUCUGCACGUCCCUCCUUAGCGAUCACCUGUCGGAACGACGACGAGCCCUGUUUCGUCGGCACCUAGAAGGAGGAGCAGGACGAUACCGAAGUCGCUUUAUCCUUCAGGUUACUGCUGUCAAAUUUCGUGUACCCCUCGUUGCUCCCAUGGUGGGUCGACAUGCCGCCGGACUAUCCCUCCACUAAUUAUCGAGUUAAAUGUCGACUAAAAGGAAGAGUCAUGUACGAUCAGCUUCAUUAAUUAAUCAACUAUAAACGUGUAUGUCCUAAACUCUUGAAAUACAGUAAAGGAUACAUAUGGGUGGUCAUGAGAUCAAUUGAAGGACAAUAUAAAAUAUAUAGAAGGCUCAAAGUCGUAAUUAUAUUCGAUACUACUACUCUGUAAUGUAUUACAAGGUAUUACACUACAAAUCGUGUAGUCGAAGGGUUGAAAGAACUUUAUUACACAUUGCGACACCUAUUGAAAAUGAACCAAAUAAACCAUCAGUCUGAUGUUAGGAUGACUGCUACGCGUUCAAUACGAUUACCGUUACUCAUGAACUAUAUAUGUCAAAGUACAAAUGUAGUCUGACUAACUACUCCAAAGUUAUAUUUAGGAUGUUAGUAAUAAUACCCUCGUUAUAAGAUUUGUAAACAAAGAUUGUUGUACAUAUAGCAAGGAGACGCCAAAGUAAUAAACCUAAAGUCUCGUCGGUGAAUGACUUUCGUAUUAUUCCAUUAAUUCGAUGAAAGGUCUUAUAUGCCCUAACAUAUUUAGGACUGAUUGCCACACACCAAGACUUCGUCAGGAAUUAAAACAAGAUUUAAACCGCAAAAGGGCGGGAAAAGUACAAGACUUUGUUAUUUUCUACACACGUGUUACGAAAAACUUAACGCAAUCGACAUACAGAAAACGUUUAACAAGUGUGAGGUUAAUUUCUUAACAACACUAAUAAGGACCAGUGACGUAUAUAUGGAACGACACACUUUUCAGACAUCGAAGUUUUUUUUACAUUCGUACAGAGAGGUAACAAAGCAUUGCUAAAGUAUAAAUCCAGAAAGACCGACAGAUAUAUAUGACGUAUCCGUCACUAAAACAGGCCUGAUUAAAUAAAAAUGGGUUUGUGCUUAAUGGUACAAUUGGUCGUACUACACAACUUAUUGAAUUAAUCCGGGAAAUGGUGUUAACCACACAUUGAUUAUAAAUUUAAUACAAAUGUUCGUGUUUGACUUUCAGAUAAACAUGAGACUAUAUAACAUGAGUACGAACCUGGUCCUAGAGUGUUCCUCCACCCUCUUCCCUGCGGUUGUUAACCACGUCUAAGUCUUCUAUAUACCUACUAAUAUACCCACACACCGUUCAUAUUACGUUACUACUACUACGAUGCCAAGUACUACUACUACUACUACUACUACUACCUACGGAAAUCAAAACCAAUUCAACAUCCCUUCCCGACAACAAGGACAACCUACUACAAGGAGCCAAUUCAAAAUCAAUUCAACAUCCCUAUAGUUGUUUUAUAAAUCUAAUACCUAGUGUAACCCUACUACAAGGAGCACAUUAUAGGUGAUAACAUUUGGUUGUAAAAUUAGGUUAUAUACUAAAGGAGAGAACCCAUAUAAGAGAAUGAAAAAAACGAGUGACACACCUCGUAUACGUUA
RNAcentral lists this ribosomal RNA (2165 nucleotides) under Triticum aestivum (bread wheat). RNAcentral's name for it is "partial small subunit ribosomal RNA". Lineage: Eukaryota; Viridiplantae; Streptophyta; Magnoliopsida; Poales; Poaceae. The record is from RNAcentral.